Marmota flaviventris (yellow-bellied marmot) is the source of this 106-nucleotide small nuclear RNA. NCBI's taxonomy places the organism in Eukaryota, Metazoa, Chordata, Mammalia, Rodentia, Sciuridae. The record is from RefSeq and is a predicted model, not a curated record.
GUACUCGCUUCGACAACACAUAUAUUAAAAUUGGAACGACACAGAAAAGAUUAACAUGGCCCUGUGCAAGGAUAACAUGCAAAUUCAUGAAGCAGUUCAUAUUUAA